This 4834-nucleotide long non-coding RNA is filed under the name Populus trichocarpa (black cottonwood). RNAcentral describes it as "long non-coding RNA (PTRI_LNC003387)". The record is from RNAcentral. Lineage: Eukaryota; Viridiplantae; Streptophyta; Magnoliopsida; Malpighiales; Salicaceae.
UUGUUAGAGAGAUAUCCUCUGCUGAUUGUGUAACUGAAGAGAGAUUUCCUCUUCUCAAUCAAAACUGAUUGAGUAACCGAAGAUCAGUUUUGAUUCUUAGUAAUUAUAGUUUUUAAUGCUAUUUAUAAUUCUGGUAACAGUCAAACAAAUUCUGCUAUAUAUAUAGCUGUAUAUUGUAAACAGAGGUAAUAAGAAAAACCAUUUUCUACAUGGUAUCAGCCUAAACCUACGAUCCUCACCUAUUUCUCUCUUCUUUUAAGUGUUUUUCUUCCUUUUCUGUUUUUCUUUCUCAUGGCCACCAUCUCUUCGGUUCUCUCUCAAAAUACUGCUCAAUUCACCAAACUUACUGAAACCAAUUAUCUCACCUGGCUUCGGCAAAUCAAGCCCUAUCUUCACGGUGCCAAACUUUGGGGAUAUGUUGAUGGCACCAUUCCUGAACCAUCUCUCACCAUCCUGACUACUGACACUCCAUCUGCAAGAUCCAUUCCUAAUCCUGAUCAUGCUAGCUGGUUCAUCAUCGACCAACAAAUUGUUAGCAUCCUCACCACCACUCUGACAGAAAACAUUGCACAGCUUACCAUUGGUUUCGACACAUCAAAGGCAAUUUGGGACUGUCUUGAACGUCACUUUUCCCAAAAGUCUGUAGCAAGUGCAACCAAUCUCAAAAUGCAACUUCUUGAUCUCAAUAAAGGCACUCAAUCUGUUGACACUUAUCUUCGUCAUGCUAAAUCCAUUGCUGAUGCUUUGAUUUCUAUUAACAAGCCUGUUCCUGAUGAGGAUUUAGUCAUCGCCACUCUUCAUGGUCUUGGCCCUGAUUAUCUCAUGCUUCGUACUGUCCUCACUCAAAAUCCUCCUCUCCCAGAUUUCACUGAACUUCGGGCUCGAAUUCUUUCUUUUGAUGCUCAACAAUCUCGUCCUGCUGAUUCUCCUACAGCCAUCGCUCUUUUCAAUCACCAUCAAACUCCUACCCGUCGUGAUCACCGCCCUAAUACCAGCCACCAAUUUCCCACCAGUGGUCGUCCCAACAAUGGUCGCUUCAGACGUGGUCGCUAUUCUCAGCAACGCACCACUCAACAGUCACAGGUUGGGUCUUCUUUUCCUAUGCAACAGCAACAUGUGCCUCCAUUGGGGCCAUUUACUUCACCAGCUUGGGCUGCUCGUCCUCCACCAAAUGGUAUUCUUGGCCCAGCACCUCAAUGGUGUCCCAAUUGUCACUCAAGUCACCAUGGACUUUCUCAAUGUCCACAUAGAUUUUCUGGUCCAAACACUGCCACUCCAUUUGCUGGUGUACAUUAUGCUGCUGAUCCAAACUGGUACCCGGACACCGGUGCAACUCAUCACAUGACAGCCAUGCCCAUCAAUAAUUCUCAACCUUAUGGUGGGCCGCAUAAUGUCUAUAUGGGUAAUGGGGACUCAAUGUCUGUUUCCCAUACUGGUAACCUUCCUUUUUCAUUAGGCUCUUCCACCUUCACUCUACAAAAUGUCUUCCGUAUUCCAUCCAUUCGUAAAAAUCUUCUAUCUGUUGCUCGUUUCACUAAAGAUAAUCAUGUUUUCUUUCUCUUUGCACCUGACUUCUAUCAAAUCUAUUGCUUACGCACUGGAUGUCUAUUGUUUCAGGGCCCUUGUAAAGAUGGUUUGUAUCCGCUUAAUCUAUCAAGCUUCUCUACUUCUCCGCAAGCCCUUGCUUCCGUUCACUCCUCUAUUUGGCACAAUCGUUUGGGUCAUCCGUCAUCAAAUGUCUUCGCUCGUCUAAGUCCUACAAUUAAUUCCAAAUUGUCCUUUCCUUCUUUUUGUCGAGACUGUGCACUUAGCAAGUCUCACCAAUUACCUUUUAAUUCCAACAAAGAGACUGCUACCACUCCUUUUCAUAUUAUACAUAGUGAUGUCUGGUCCUCCUCUACCAUUUCUAUAAGUGGUUUCAAAUAUUAUGUUCUAUUUACUGAUGAAUUCUCACGCUACACUUGGAUUUACCCCAUGCGUCGCAAAAAUGAAGUCCUCACUCAUUUUCAAACUUUAGUUGCCAAGAUUCAAAACAUCUUUCACCACACCAUUCAAUUUCUUCAAAGUGAUAAUGGGACAGAAUAUGUCAAUAAUGCCUUUUCUCAUUAUUGUAAAGCCUUGGGAAUUCAACAAAGAUUUUCUUGCCCCCACACGCCACAACAAAAUGGCCUUGCCGAACGUAAGCACCGCCAUAUUGCUACAAUGACUCGCAGUCUCCUUCUCACUUCUGGUACUCCACAUAAUCUUUGGGUUGAAGUUGUUUUAACCUCUGUUUACCUUAUUAAUCUUCUUCCUACACCCACUCUGGAUUGGGAUACUCCACAUACUCGUCUUUAUGGUAGCCCACCUUCCUAUUCCUCUCUUCGGGUUUUUGGAUGUUCCUGUUUUCCUCAUCUAGGGUCUUAUGUCUCUGAUAAACUUUCGAGUCGUAGCAUUGAGUGUGUCUUUCUUGGUUGCAGUUCUCAACACAAAGGUUAUCGUUGUCUAGAUCCUACCACCGGUCGUGUCUAUAUUUCUAGGCAUGUUAUUUUUAACGAAACAAUUUUUCCUUAUAAACAGUUGCAGGCACAUUCAGUUUCUGACGCUGGCUCAUUGGAAUUCACACUUUUGUCUAGCUCAGAACUCCCACAGCUUGCUCCUUCUGAUCCACAUCCACCUGCUGAGAACAACUCUCCUUAUCUUGUGUCUCAACCAGAGCAGCAUGAAGUGGGUAUUGAAUUCCCGAUUACAGCAUCAUCAGCUCCAUCCCAGUCUCUGGCGCCCACCGCCGCCCCCAUCCUCACUUAUCAGCGCCGACGUUCAUUACAUCCGGUUACUUCACAGAUAGAGUCCACCUCUCUUCAGCCAUCUGCCCCUGAUGCAACUAUUCCACAGCUGGUCUCAAGUGAUCCUUCUCCUGUCUCUAAUCCUCCAGCAACAUCCACAUCUUCAUCACCUGCUCCUCCGUCUCUUCCUGCGCCGCCCUCUUCACCCAAGAGGACACGUUUACAGCAUGGUAUUGUGCAACCUAAAAUUCACACGGAUGGAACUAUCAAAUAUCCAAUUCCUCGUGCUCUCCUCACUGCCAUUGAAACUACAGAGCCCACAUGCUACACUCAAGCUUCUAAACAUGCGAUAUGGCGUGCUGCAAUGGCUGAUGAAAUCAAUGCUUUGCUGAAAAAUGAAACUUGGACAUUGGUUCCUCCUUCUUCCUCUCAAAAUCUUGUUGGCUGCAAAUGGGUAUUUCGAGUAAAGCAUAACCCAGAUGGCACAAUUCAACGUCACAAAGCACGACUUGUGGCUAAAGGAUUUCAUCAACAACAAGGUAUAGACUAUACAGAUACCUUUAGCCCUGUUAUUAAACCUGCAACUAUUCGUGUUGUGCUUUCUCUUGCUGUAUCUAGAGGCUGGUCACUACGUCAAUUGGACGUGAAGAACGCGUUCCUUCAUGGCCUUCUUAAAGAAGAUGUCUAUAUGACUCAACCACCGGGAUUCAUCAAUCAGUCACGGCCUUCUCAUGUUUGCAAGCUCAACAAGGCCAUCUACGGCCUCAAGCAAGCUCCCCGUGCAUGGUUUCACCGAAUGACAUGCUUCUUAUUAUCAAUUGGCUUUGUUCAGAGCUUGGCUGAUUCAUCUCUGUUUGUUUUCCAACACGAGUGUCAUACAAUUUAUUUUCUCCUCUAUGUUGAUGACAUUGUGGUCACCGGUAGUGAUGAUCGACUUUUACAAAGUUUUAUUGAUGCUUUAGGUCGGGGCUUUGACAUCAAAGAUCUUGGAAAUCUACACUACUUUCUCGGUUUGCAGGUUACAUCUCACAAUAAAGGUGUUCAUAUCAGUCAACUCAAAUAUGCAUAUGAUCUUCUCGUGAAGCAUGAUAUGCUGCUUAGUAAACCUGUGAGCACUCCGAUGUCAGCAAAGGAUACUCUCACUUCUAAUGAUGGUGCUCUCCUUCCCAAUCCAUCGGUCUUUCGGGAAAUUGUUGGAUCCUUACAGUACUUGACAAUCACUCGCCCUGACAUUGCCUUUGCUGUUAAUUCUAUUGCUCAGUUCAUGAGUCAACCACGCAUCCCUCACUUAAUUGCUGCUAAGCGCAUACUUCGCUACAUCAAAGGCUCACUUGAUCAUGGCUUGUUCUUUGGUCCUCAGCAUCAUCCUACUUAUCUUGCUGCCUAUGCGGAUGCUAAUUGGGCUGGUUGUUCAGAAUCUCGCCGUUCAACGUCUGGUUAUCUUGUUUAUCUUGGCACUAACUUGGUCUCUUGGUGCUCUAAAAAGCAACCUACCAUUGCUCGUUCCAGUGCUGAGUCUGAGUAUCGUUCUCUUUCCCAUGCUAGUGCAGAGACUACUUGGUUAGCCUACUUGCUCUAUGAACUUGGUGCUUGCAUUCAGUUUCCCAUUCUCUUGCAUUGUGAUAACCUCAGUGCUACGUACAUGGCUUCUAAUCCGGUAUUCCAUGCCCGCACCAAACAUAUUGAACUUGAUUAUCACUUUGUUCGUGAGAAGGUUGCACUUGGAAGCCAUCGUGUUUGCUUUAUCCCUUCCAUAGAUCAGCCUGCCGAUCUGCUCACCAAGCCUCUUCACAAGAAUCGUCAUGUUCUUUUUACUCGCAAACUUGUUCGUGCAGGCCCGCCAAGUUUGAGGGAGGGUGUUAGAGAGAUAUCCUCUGCUGAUUGUGUAACUGAAGAGAGAUUUCCUCUUCUCAAUCAAAACUGAUUGAGUAACCGAAGAUCAGUUUUGAUUCUUAGUAAUUAUAGUUUUUAAUGCUAUUUAUAAUUCUGGUAACAGUCAAACAAAUUCUGCUAUAUAUAUAGCUGUAUAUUGUAAACAGAGGUAAUAAGAAAAACCAUUUUCUACAAAA